RNAcentral lists this ribosomal RNA (253 nucleotides) under uncultured bacterium. RNAcentral describes it as "partial 16S ribosomal RNA". It matches the Rfam family "Bacterial small subunit ribosomal RNA", at positions 524 to 776 of the family's 1533-position model. The record is from RNAcentral.
UACGGUGGGUGCGAACGUUAAUCGGAAUUACUGGGCGUAAAGCGCGCGUAGGCGGUUCGGCAAGUGGGAUGUGAAAGCCCCGGGCUUAACCUGGGAAUUGCGUUCCAAACUACCGGGCUAGAGUAUGGUAGAGGGAGGUAGAAUUUCCUGUGUAGCGGUGAAAUGCGUAGAUAUAGGAAGGAAUACCGGUGGCGAAGGCGGCCUCCUGGACCAAUACUGACGCUGAGGUGCGAAAGCGUGGGGAGCAAACAGG